UAGGGAAUCUUCCGCAAUGGGCGAAAGCUUGACGGAGCAACGCCGCGUGAGUGAUGAAGGUCUUCGGAUCGUAAAACUCUGUUAUUAGGGAAGAACAAAUGUGUAAGUAACUAUGCACGUCUUGACGGUACCUAAUCAGAAAGCCACGGCUAACUACGUGCCAGCAGCCGCGGUAAUACGUAGGUGGCAAGCGUUAUCCGGAAUUAUUGGGCGUAAAGCGCGCGUAGGCGGUUUUUUAAGUCUGAUGUGAAAGCCCACGGCUCAACCGUGGAGGGUAAUUGGAAACUGGAAGACUUGAGUGCAGAAGAGGAAAGUGGAAUUCCAUGUGUAGCGGUGAAAUGCGCAGAGAUAUGGAGGAACACCAGUGGCGAAGGCGACUUUCUGGUCUGUAACUGACGCUGAUGUGCGAAAGCGUGGGGAUCAAACAGG
This 429-nucleotide ribosomal RNA is filed under the name Actinomycetes bacterium. Its description in RNAcentral is "Actinobacteria bacterium partial 16S ribosomal RNA". It matches the Rfam family "Bacterial small subunit ribosomal RNA", at positions 355 to 776 of the family's 1533-position model. Lineage: Bacteria; Bacillati; Actinomycetota; Actinomycetes. The record is from RNAcentral.